RNAcentral lists this ribosomal RNA (253 nucleotides) under uncultured bacterium. RNAcentral's name for it is "partial 16S ribosomal RNA". It matches the Rfam family "Bacterial small subunit ribosomal RNA", at positions 524 to 776 of the family's 1533-position model. The record is from RNAcentral.
UACGUAGGGGGCGAGCGUUGUCCGGAUUUAUUGGGCGUAAAGAGCGUGUAGGCGGUUCGGUAAGUCUGUCGUGAAAUCCUGAGGCUCAACCUCGGACGUGCGAUGGAUACUGCCGGGCUAGAGGAUGGUAGAGGCGAGUGGAAUUCCCGGUGUAGCGGUGAAAUGCGCAGAUAUCGGGAGGAACACCAGUAGCGAAGGCGGCUCGCUGGGCCAUUCCUGACGCUGAGACGCGAAAGCUAGGGGAGCGAACAGG